RNAcentral lists this transfer RNA (78 nucleotides) under Chloroflexota bacterium. Its description in RNAcentral is "Chloroflexi bacterium (aquatic metagenome) tRNA-Pro". It matches the Rfam family "tRNA". From Rfam's summary of the family: Transfer RNA (tRNA) molecules are approximately 80 nucleotides in length. Their secondary structure includes four short double-helical elements and three loops (D, anti-codon, and T loops). The record is from RNAcentral. RNAcentral also lists the same sequence under 1 other name. Lineage: Bacteria; Bacillati; Chloroflexota.
CGGGGUGUGGCGCAGCCUGGUUAGCGCGCCUGCUUUGGGAGCAGGAGGUCGACGGUUCAAAUCCGUCCACCCCGACCA